This 467-nucleotide ribosomal RNA is filed under the name uncultured bacterium. RNAcentral's name for it is "partial 16S ribosomal RNA". It matches the Rfam family "Bacterial small subunit ribosomal RNA", at positions 28 to 506 of the family's 1533-position model. The record is from RNAcentral.
GACGAACGCUGGCGGCGUGCUUAACACAUGCAAGUCGAACGGAAAGGCCCUGCUUUUGUGGGGUGCUCGAGUGGCGAACGGGUGAGUAACACGUGAGUAACCUGCCCUUGACUUUGGGAUAACUUCAGGAAACUGGGGCUAAUACCGGAUAGGAGCUCCUGCUGCAUGGUGGGGGUUGGAAAGUUUCGGCGGUUGGGGAUGGACUCGCGGCUUAUCAGCUUGUUGGUGGGGUAGUGGCUUACCAAGGCUUUGACGGGUAGCCGGCCUGAGAGGGUGACCGGCCACAUUGGGACUGAGAUACGGCCCAGACUCCUACGGGAGGCAGCAGUGGGGAAUAUUGCACAAUGGGCGGAAGCCUGAUGCAGCAACGCCGCGUGCGGGAUGACGGCCUUCGGGUGGUAAACCGCUUUCGCCUGUGACGAAGCGUGAGUGACGGUAAUGGGUAAAGAAGCACCGGCGAACUACGU